GACGAACGCUGGCGGCGUGCUUAACACAUGCAAGUCGAACGGAAAGGCCCGGCGUUUGUGGGGUGCUCGAGUGGCGAACGGGUGAGUAACACGUGAGGAACCUGCCCCUGUCUGUGGGAUAACUUCAGGAAACUGGGGCUAAUACCGGGUAGGAGCUCUUGCACCGUGGUGGGGGUUGGAAAGUGUCGGUUGUUGGGGCUGGACUCGCGGCUUAUCAGCUGCUUUGUGGGGUAGUGGCUUUCCAAGGCUUUGACGGGUAGCCGGCCUGAGAGGGUGACCGGCCACAUUGGGACUGAGGUACGGCCCAGACUCCAACGGGAGGCAGCAGGGGGGAAUAUUGCGCAAUGGGCGGAAGCCUGAUGCAGCAACGCCGCGUGCGGGAUGACGGCCUUCGGGUUGUAAACCGCUUUCGCCUGUGACGAAGCGUGAGUGACGGUAAUGGGUCAAGAAGCACCGGCUAACUACGUG
Molecule: ribosomal RNA, 468 nt
Filed under: uncultured bacterium
Lineage: Bacteria
Description: partial 16S ribosomal RNA
Rfam family: Bacterial small subunit ribosomal RNA
Source: RNAcentral